GCCAACCUACUAACUGACGGGAC
RNAcentral lists this microRNA (23 nucleotides) under Ixodes ricinus (castor bean tick). RNAcentral describes it as "iri-miR-X1d-3p". The record is from RNAcentral. Lineage: Eukaryota; Metazoa; Arthropoda; Arachnida; Ixodida; Ixodidae.